CAGCCGCCGCGGUAAUACGAAGGGGGCUAGCGUUGUUCGGAUUUACUGGGCGUAAAGCGCACGUAGGCGGACUUUUAAGUCAGGGGUGAAAUCCCGGGGCUCAACCCCGGAACUGCCUUUGAUACUGGGAGUCUUGAGUUCGAGAGAGGUGAGUGGAAUUGCGAGUGUAGAGGUGAAAUUCGUAGAUAUUCGCAGGAACACCAGUGGCGAAGGCGGCUCACUGGCUCGACACUGACGCUGAGGUGCGAAAGCGUGGGGAGCAAACAGGAUUAGAUACCCCAGUAGUCCCUGUCUCUUAUAC
This 301-nucleotide ribosomal RNA is filed under the name uncultured bacterium. Its description in RNAcentral is "partial 16S ribosomal RNA". It matches the Rfam family "Bacterial small subunit ribosomal RNA", at positions 509 to 807 of the family's 1533-position model. The record is from RNAcentral.